CACGUAGGGGACGAGCGUUGUCCGGAUUCAUUGGGCGUAAAGCGCGCGUAGGCGGCCCUGUAAGUCCGUUGUGAAAGUCAAAGGCUCAACCUUUGAAAGCCGAUGGAUACUGCAGGGCUAGAGUCCGGAAGAGGCGAGUGGAAUUCCUGGUGUAGCGGUGGAAUGCGCAGAUAUCAGGAGGAACACCAAUAGCGAAGGCAGCUCGCUGGGACGGUACUGACGCUAAGGCGCGAAAGCGUGGGGAGCGAACAGG
RNAcentral lists this ribosomal RNA (253 nucleotides) under uncultured bacterium. RNAcentral describes it as "partial 16S ribosomal RNA". It matches the Rfam family "Bacterial small subunit ribosomal RNA", at positions 524 to 776 of the family's 1533-position model. The record is from RNAcentral.